Molecule: transfer RNA, 77 nt
Filed under: Verrucomicrobiota bacterium
Lineage: Bacteria; Pseudomonadati; Verrucomicrobiota
Also listed under: 2 other names
Description: Verrucomicrobia bacterium (activated sludge metagenome) tRNA-His
Rfam family: tRNA
About the family: Transfer RNA (tRNA) molecules are approximately 80 nucleotides in length. Their secondary structure includes four short double-helical elements and three loops (D, anti-codon, and T loops).
Source: RNAcentral
GCGAUCGUAGCUCAGUUGGUUAGAGCACCGGAUUGUGGAUCCGGUUGUCGCGGGUUCGAGCCCCGUCGAUCGCCCCA